GGAGUAAAGUCCUUCCUGACCUUUCUUCUCCUCAGGAACUGCUCACACCUGAGCCCCAAAGAUGAGGGCCCAGGAGGACCCCGAGAGCCGGACGCAGGACACCCAGGGCCAAUGGCUCCAGCAGCCAGCACAGUGGACUCGUUCCUGCACCACGCAACGUGAGGUGGGAGCCAGGUGUGGCCAGCCCAAGUGGCAACAGCUUGAGUCCUGGGGCUCAGCAGCCGCCAGGGACCCCCCGACGUCCCUGGCCACAGAGCCCAAGUUUGACAUGUUGUACAAGAUCGAGGACGUGCCACCUUGGUACCUGUGCAUCCUGCUGGGCUUCCAGCAUUACCUGACGUGCUUUAGCGGCACCAUUGCCGUGCCCUUCCUCCUGGCCGAGGCACUGUGCGUGGGCCGGGACCAGCACAUGGUCAGCCAGCUCAUCGGCACCAUCUUCACAUGCGUGGGCGUCACCACCCUCAUCCAGACCACACUGGGCAUCCGGCUGCCACUGUUCCAGGCCAGCGCCUUUGCAUUUCUGGUCCCUGCCAAAGCCAUUCUGGCCCUGGAGAGAUGGAAAUGCCCCCCGGAAGAGGAGAUCUACGGUAACUGGAGUCUGCCCCUGAACACCUCUCAUAUCUGGCACCCAAGGAUACGAGAGGUCCAGGGUGCAAUCAUGGUGUCCAGCAUGGUAGAGGUGGUGAUUGGGCUGAUGGGGCUGCCUGGGGCCCUGCUCAGCUACAUUGGGCCUCUCACAGUCACCCCCACUGUCUCCCUCAUUGGUCUCUCAGUCUUCCAAGCUGCUGGUGACCGAGCUGGCUCCCACUGGGGCAUCUCAGCUUGCUCCAUCCUCCUGAUCGUCCUCUUCUCCCAGUACCUACGCAACUUCGCCUUCCUGCUGCCUGUCUACCGCCGGGGCAAAGGCCUCACUCUCUUCCGAAUCCAGAUCUUCAAGAUGUUUCCCAUCGUGCUGGCCAUCAUGACUGUGUGGUUGCUGUGCUACAUCCUGACCCUGACGGAUGUGCUGCCCAAAGACCCAGCAGCCUAUGGCUUCCAGGCACGAACAGACGCCCGUGGGGACAUCAUGGCUAUUGCACCUUGGAUCCGCAUUCCCUACCCCUGUCAGUGGGGCCUGCCCACGGUGACCGCGGCUGCUGUUCUGGGCAUGUUCAGUGCCACAUUGGCGGGCAUUAUUGAGUCCAUCGGAGAUUACUAUGCUUGUGCCCGCCUGGCUGGUGCGCCACCCCCCCCAGUACAUGCUAUCAACAGGGGCAUCUUCACCGAAGGUAUCUGCUGCAUUAUCGCAGGACUGUUGGGCACGGGCAACGGGUCCACCUCGUCCAGCCCCAACAUCGGCGUCUUGGGGAUUACCAAGGUGGGCAGCCGGCGCGUGGUGCAGUACGGGGCGGGCAUCAUGCUGGUCCUGGGCACCAUCGGCAAGUUCACGGCCCUCUUCGCCUCGCUCCCUGACCCUAUCCUGGGGGGCAUGUUCUGCACCCUCUUCGGCAUGAUUACGGCCGUGGGGCUGUCCAACCUGCAGUUCGUGGAUAUGAAUUCCUCCCGCAACCUUUUCGUGCUCGGCUUUUCCAUGUUCUUUGGGCUCACGCUGCCCAAUUAUCUGGAGUCCAACCCCGGCGCCAUCAACACAGGCAUCGCCGAAGUGGACCAGAUCCUGACGGUGCUACUGACCACCGAGAUGUUCGUGGGUGGGUGCCUUGCUUUCAUACUGGACAACACAGUGCCAGGGAGCCCAGAGGAACGAGGUCUAAUACAGUGGAAAGCCGGCGCCCAUGCCAAUAGUGAGACGUCCUCCACCCUCAAAAGCUACGACUUCCCCAUUGGGAUGGGCAUGGUAAAAAGGAUCGCCUUUCUGAAAUACAUUCCCAUCUGCCCAGUCUUCAAAGGAUUUUCUUCAAGGUUAAAAGACCAGCUUGCAGUUCCAGAAGACACUCCAGAAAAUACAGAAACCGGGUCCGUGUGCACCAAGGUCUGAAAAAUUACUUCCAGUGAUAUAGAGCAGAACUUCCCAACUGGUGUGGGCCACAAUGAGGUUACAGGUAUGCUGAAAUAUAUUGAUCCCUCCAGCCUUCUGGGUACCCGAGCAGAAUAUAGACCAACUGGAAUCCAUCAGCCAGUAAUCCACAGCCACGGUCUCCAACAUGCUAAACAAAUAUCACUUUACAACAAGGAAAAGGUCGGAAACACAGACACAUGAAGCAGAGAACAUAAAUGGGAGAGAAGACUUCAUGGGGAAUCAGAAGACUAAAGUCCGAAUCCCAGCUCUAUGCCUAACUUCCUAUAUAACCUUGGAUAAGUCCCCUCCCUGGGACUCAGUUUUCGUUAUCAGUUAAACGAAAAA
This is an RNA transcript of Choloepus didactylus (southern two-toed sloth), 2341 nucleotides long. It is a transcript of the gene named solute carrier family 23 member 1, with no coding region annotated. The record is from RefSeq and is a predicted model, not a curated record. NCBI's taxonomy places the organism in Eukaryota, Metazoa, Chordata, Mammalia, Pilosa, Megalonychidae. The transcript is spliced from 17 exons.